RNAcentral lists this ribosomal RNA (174 nucleotides) under uncultured Azorhizobium sp. RNAcentral's name for it is "partial 16S ribosomal RNA". It matches the Rfam family "Bacterial small subunit ribosomal RNA", at positions 338 to 529 of the family's 1533-position model. The record is from RNAcentral. Lineage: Bacteria; Pseudomonadati; Pseudomonadota; Alphaproteobacteria; Hyphomicrobiales; Xanthobacteraceae.
CCUACGGGAGGCAGCAGUGGGGAAUAUUGGACAAUGGGCGCAAGCCUGAUCCAGCCAUGCCGCGUGAGUGAUGAAGGCCUUAGGGUUGUAAAGCUCUUUCGCCGGUGAAGAUAAUGACGGUAACCGGAGAAGAAGCCCCGGCUAACUUCGUGCCAGCAGCCGCGGUAAUACGAA